AUGAUCAAAGGGAAGAUGCCAAUGAUGCAGGAGGCGAUCGUCGAGAUUCCUGGCCUGGGCAAUCCUUUGACGUGGCCGCGUCCGCCGGCUGGCCGAGCUGCUCUAUCUGUGGAUGGAGCGUUCAUGCAAGCUGAUGGCUCAGCGGCGGCUGGUAUGAUAUUGCAAAGGCAUGAUGGGAGUGUGAUUUUCGCGGCCUACAAAUGCAUUUUCAACUGUAAUGACGCAUUGGAGGCAGAACUACAUGCAAUAAUGCAGGGUAUGGCUCUAGCCCUGCAGCACUGUACCCUCCCGAUCGUCGCUCAGUCCGACUCGUCAGUGGCACUAGCGGCUAUGACUGGGGAUAGCUUAGCCAGAUCGGCGUAUGGACACUUAGUAGCGGAGAUUCGACAUCACAUGGGUGUUCGAGAGUUUAUUCCGUCCAAAAUCAAGCGUGAGCAGAAUAGGGUAGCACAUCGGUUGGCAUUGUAUAGUCGUACAGAAAGUAAAACCGUUGUAUGGUUCGGUAGAAGUCCACCGUGUACUGAGGAGUUGGUGCCCCUGGAUUGUAACCUUAUCCCUAUGAAAUAA
RNAcentral lists this ribosomal RNA (567 nucleotides) under Triticum aestivum (bread wheat). RNAcentral describes it as "partial small subunit ribosomal RNA". The record is from RNAcentral. Lineage: Eukaryota; Viridiplantae; Streptophyta; Magnoliopsida; Poales; Poaceae.